UACGUAGGGGGCGAGCGUUGUCCGGAGUUACUGGGCGUAAAGCGUCCGCAGGUGGUAACUCAAGUUUCGACUGACAGUACCCGGCUUAACUGGGUGAGGCGUCGGAAAACUGGGUUACUUGAGGGCUUCAGAGGGACACGGAAUUCCGGGUGGAGUGGUGAAAUGCGUAGAGAUCCGGAGGAACACCAAAGGCGUAGGCAGUGUCCUGGGGAGUACCUGACACUCAUGGACGAAAGCCAGGGGAGCGAACGGG
Molecule: ribosomal RNA, 253 nt
Filed under: uncultured Ktedonobacter sp.
Lineage: Bacteria; Bacillati; Chloroflexota; Ktedonobacteria; Ktedonobacterales; Ktedonobacteraceae
Description: partial 16S ribosomal RNA
Rfam family: Bacterial small subunit ribosomal RNA
Source: RNAcentral